Long non-coding RNA from Panonychus citri (citrus red mite), 1086 nucleotides. RefSeq lists it as uncharacterized. The transcript has 2 exons. The record is from RefSeq and is a predicted model, not a curated record. Lineage: Eukaryota; Metazoa; Arthropoda; Arachnida; Trombidiformes; Tetranychidae.
AUUGAUUGUUACCUAAUCGAGUUAAUCAACUGUGAUAAUCAAGAAGCAAUUCUAUUUUUAUUAAUUAUGUUUUUCUUUUAUUCAUUAGCCAAACCUCCACAAUUUCCAUUGUUGUUUGGAACAUGAUAAUUGCUACCAGAGAAAAGGAAAGAGUAAAGUUCAUCUGAUUGGUUUAUAGAAACGAGUUCUUUAACCAAAGUAAUAAAUCGGGUUUUCUUGUUUUCUUUUCUCUGGUAUAACUUUCCUGGUUUUCCCUUUUUUCCAUCUUCAUCUUCUUCCAUAUUCCUGGUUCAUCAUCAUUCAACCUUCAUCAAUAUCUUUCUUCAUGUGAUAACCUUUUAUUGGUGCAAUCAUAUUCUCAUUACCUGUUUGUUUACCUCUUCUUAUCACUUACAACUUGUAAUUAGCUUUAGAAACAGUUGCUGGAUUAACCGAUUAUCUCAGAUUAUCAUCAUCAGUAUCAUCAUUUCAUGGGGGAAAAUUAGGUUGAUUUGUUGGUAAAGGUAUUUUCUUUUUGUUGGUAAAAAAAGACAAACAUUUCAAACUCCAUUGAUAUUCUGACUGUUUGUUUCAAUCGAAACAAAAAAUUUAGAAUAGAAAAAAAGAGACAAUUGUUUAUUCCUCCAAUAAGGAUACAUCUUAUUGGUUCAUCUUCUUUUUUCCUCUUCUAUUCUCUUCUUUUCAAUCAGAAUUUAUCAUCUAAUAAGUUCCAUUAUCUUCUCAACUCUUUCCCCUUCUCUUGUUCUUUCAAUUAAUUAGAUGAGGGAAGUAGAAAAUUGUUUAUUGUGAUAAAUCAUUUUUCCAUCAACAUCAUCACCAUGAAGAGAAACAGUUGGAAAUAUUUCUUGUCUCGCUGAACAUUAACCAUGAUUAAGAUGAGAUAUGAACAAUAAUGGAUCGAGAUAUGAAUUCACAAUCGACUCAAUUGAACGAACAAGGGGAAAAGUAGCGAAACUUAGUUUCUAUGGAUAAACGUCAACGAUAUUCAAGUCGAAACUUUUUUCCUUGUAACUUUGUAUUAAUGGUGAAGAAAGUUGAUCACCAACUGAUUGUCUCCAUUGCAAUUUAAUCGCUGUUCUAACUUUA